CAAUAGCGUAUAUUAAAGUUGUUGCAGUUAAAAAGCUCGUAGUUGGACUUGUGGUGGUCUUUGGGGUCCGAUUUCGGUACUCUCGGGGACUGCCAUCUUUGGGUGGAUCCUGUGUGGCAUUAGGUUGUCGUGCAGGGGAUGCCCAUCGUUUACUGUGAAAAAAUUAGAGUGUUCAAAGCAGGCUUAUGCCGUUGAAUAUAUUAGCAUGGAAUAAUGAGAUAGGACCUUGGUACUAUUUUGUUGGUUUGCGCACCGAGGUAAUGAUUAAUAGGGACAGUUGUGGGUAUUCGUAUUCCAUUGUCAGAGGUGAAAUUCUUGGAUUUCUGGAAGACGAACUAAUGCGAAAGCAUUUACCAAGGAUGUUUNCAUUA
RNAcentral lists this ribosomal RNA (371 nucleotides) under uncultured eukaryote. Its description in RNAcentral is "partial 18S ribosomal RNA". It matches the Rfam family "Eukaryotic small subunit ribosomal RNA", at positions 592 to 975 of the family's 1831-position model. The record is from RNAcentral.